GUGGAUUAGAUACCCUAGUAGUCCACGCCGUAAACGUUGGGCACUAGGUGUGGGUCUCUAACCAACGAGAUCCGCGCCGUCGCUAACGCAUUAAGUGCCCCGCCUGGGGAGUACGGUCGCAAGACUAAAACUCAAAGGAAUUGACGGGGGCCCGCACAAGCAGCGGAGCGUGUUGCUUAAUUCGAUGCUACGCGAAGAACCUUACCUAGGUUAAAUCAUUGGGAAAAGCCACAGAGAUGUGGUGUCCUUCGGGGCUCAAUGAAGGUGGUGCAUGGCUGUCGCCAACU
Molecule: ribosomal RNA, 287 nt
Filed under: uncultured bacterium
Lineage: Bacteria
Description: partial 16S ribosomal RNA
Rfam family: Bacterial small subunit ribosomal RNA
Source: RNAcentral